This 253-nucleotide ribosomal RNA is filed under the name uncultured bacterium. RNAcentral describes it as "partial 16S ribosomal RNA". It matches the Rfam family "Bacterial small subunit ribosomal RNA", at positions 524 to 776 of the family's 1533-position model. The record is from RNAcentral.
GACGUAGGAUGCGAGCGUUGUCCGGAUUUAUUGGGCGUAAAGAGUUCGUAGGUGGUUUGUUAAGUCUGAUGUUAAAGACUGGGGCUCAACCUCGGAAAUGCAUUGGAUACUGGCAGACUGGAGUGUAGUAGAGGCAAGCGGAAUUCCCUGUGUAGCGGUGAAAUGCGUAGAUAUUGGGAAGAACACCGGUGGCGUAAGCGGCUUGCUGGGCUAUAACUGACGCUGAGGAACGAAAGCUAGGGGAGCAAAUGGG